This 239-nucleotide ribosomal RNA is filed under the name uncultured bacterium. RNAcentral's name for it is "partial 16S ribosomal RNA". It matches the Rfam family "Bacterial small subunit ribosomal RNA", at positions 15 to 236 of the family's 1533-position model. The record is from RNAcentral.
GAUCCUGCUCAGGAUGAACGCUGGCGGCGUGCUUAACACAUGCAAGUCGAACGAAGCACUUUAUUACAAUUUCUUCGGAAUGACGAUUUAGUGACUGAGUGGCGGACGGGUGAGUAACGCGUGGGUAACCUGCCUUAUACAGGGGGAUAACAGUUAGAAAUGACUGCUAAUACCGCAUAAGCGCACAGGAUUGCAUGAUCUGGUGUGAAAAACUCCGGUGGUAUAAGAUGGACCCGCGU